RNAcentral lists this ribosomal RNA (511 nucleotides) under Acremonium sp. DY115-21-14-M6. RNAcentral describes it as "eukaryotic LSU rRNA". The stretch from base 135 to 288 matches the Rfam family "5.8S ribosomal RNA". The record is from RNAcentral. Lineage: Eukaryota; Fungi; Ascomycota; Sordariomycetes; Hypocreales; Bionectriaceae.
AUUGUGAACUUACCACUGUUGCUUCGGCGGCCUCGCCCCGGGCGCGUUCGCGCGGCCCGGACCCAGGCGUCCGCCGGAGGCUUCAAACUCUUGUCUUUUAGUGUAUUUCUGAGUGGCAUAAGCAAAUAAAUCAAAACUUUCAGCAACGGAUCUCUUGGUUCUGGCAUCGAUGAAGAACGCAGCAAAAUGCGAUAAGUAAUGUGAAUUGCAGAAUUCAGUGAAUCAUCGAAUCUUUGAACGCACAUUGCGCCCGCCAGUAUUCUGGCGGGCAUGCCUGUCUGAGCGUCAUUUCAACCCUCAGGACCCGUUCGCGGGACCUGGCGUUGGGGAUCAGCCUGCCCCUGGCGGCGGCUGGCCCUGAAAUACAGUGGCGGUUCCCUCGCGAACUCCUCCGUGCAGUAAUUAAACCUCUCGCGGCAGGAUAGCGGUUGAACCACGCCGUUAAACCCCCCACUUCUCAAGGUUGACCUCAGAUCAGGUAGGAAUACCCGCUGAACUUAAGCAUAUCAAU